GAAGUCUAGUAAACGAAAACUUAAGAAGCCAACAGUAACAUCAUGGGUUUGGGACAAGCCACAAGAAGAUGCCUUCCAGAAGCUCAAAAGUCAACUUGCGAUGCCACCUGUUCUUGGUUAUCCACGUUACAAGGAACCUUUUGAACUACAUACAGACGCAUCUAUGCUUGGUCUUGGAGCAAUACUGUACCAAUCACAAGAAGGAAAGAAAAGAGCCAUAGCCUAUGCCAGCAGAGGACUUAGCAAGACUGAGAGGAACUACCCAGUCCAUAAAUUAGAAUUCCUUGCUCUGAAAUGGUCAGUAACAGAGAAAUUUCAUGAUUACCUUUAUGGCAACACAUUUACCGUGGUUACAGACAACAACCCACUUACUUACGUCUUAACAACAGCAAAGCUAGACGCCACUGGUCAUCGUUGGAUAGCUAGUUUGUCAUCUUACAACUUUAACAUCGUCUAUCGACCUGGUGUCAACAACGCUGAUGCAGAUGCACUUUCCAGACUUCCAGAACUACUUGGUCGUACCAACACCUCCAACAUUAGUACAGAUUCUGUGAAAGCCAUUUGUCAGUUACAACAUGCACA
RNAcentral lists this long non-coding RNA (582 nucleotides) under Mytilus galloprovincialis (Mediterranean mussel). Lineage: Eukaryota; Metazoa; Mollusca; Bivalvia; Mytilida; Mytilidae. The record is from RNAcentral.